CCUUCGGGCCUCUUGCCAUCGGAUGUGCCCAGAUGGGAUUAGCUAGUAGGUGGGGUAACGGCUCACCUAGGCGACGAUCCCUAGCUGGUCUGAGAGGAUGACCAGCCACACUGGAACUGAGACACGGUCCAGACUCCUACGGGAGGCAGCAGUGGGGAAUAUUGCACAAUGGGCGCAAGCCUGAUGCAGCCAUGCCGCGUGUAUGAAGAAGGCCUUCGGGUUGUAAAGUACUUUCAGCGGGGAGGAAGGGAGUAAAGUUAAUACCUUUGCUCAUUGACGUUACCCGCAGAAGAAGCACCGGCUAACUCCGUGCCAGCAGCCGCGGUAAUACGGAGGGUGCAAGCGUUAAUCGGAAUUACUGGGCGUAAAGCGCACGCAGGCGGUUUGUUAAGUCAGAUGUGAAAUCCCCGGGCUCAACCUGGGAACUGCAUCUGAUACUGGCAAGCUUGAGUCUCGUAGAGGGGGGUAGAAUUCCAGGUGUAGCGGUGAAAUGCGUAGAGAUCUGGAGGAAUACCGGUGGCGAAGGCGGCCCCCUGGACGAAGACUGACGCUCAGGUGCGAAAGCGUGGGGAGCAAACAGGAUU
Molecule: ribosomal RNA, 584 nt
Filed under: Escherichia coli
Lineage: Bacteria; Pseudomonadati; Pseudomonadota; Gammaproteobacteria; Enterobacterales; Enterobacteriaceae
Also listed under: 2 other names
Description: partial 16S ribosomal RNA
Rfam family: Bacterial small subunit ribosomal RNA
Source: RNAcentral